Molecule: ribosomal RNA, 251 nt
Filed under: uncultured bacterium
Lineage: Bacteria
Description: partial 16S ribosomal RNA
Rfam family: Bacterial small subunit ribosomal RNA
Source: RNAcentral
ACGUAGGUCACAAGCGUUGUCCGGAAUUACUGGGUGUAAAGGGAGCGCAGGCGGGAAGACAAGUUGGAAGUGAAAUCCAUGGGCUCAACCCAUGAACUGCUUUCAAAACUGUUUUUCUUGAGUAGUGCAGAGGUGGGCGGAAUUCCCGGUGUAGCGGUGGAAUGCGUAGAUAUCGGGAGGAACACCAGUGGCGAAGGCGGCCUACUGGGCACCAACUGACGCUGAGGCUCGAAAGUGUGGGUAGCAAACAG